This 480-nucleotide ribosomal RNA is filed under the name uncultured bacterium. RNAcentral's name for it is "bacterial SSU rRNA". It matches the Rfam family "Bacterial small subunit ribosomal RNA", at positions 28 to 513 of the family's 1533-position model. The record is from RNAcentral.
GAUGAACGCUAGCGGCAGGCUUAACACAUGCAAGUCGAGGGGUAUAGUAGCAAUACUAGAGACCGGCGCACGGGUGCGUAACGCGUAUGCAAUCUACCUUUUGCAGAGGGAUAGCCCAGAGAAAUUUGGAUUAAUACCUCAUAGUAUAAUGAGUUGGCAUCAACUUAUUAUUAAAGUCACAACGGCAAAAGAUGAGCAUGCGUCCCAUUAGUUAGUUGGUAAGGUAACGGCUUACCAAGACUACGAUGGGUAGGGGUCCUGAGAGGGAGAUCCCCCACACUGGUACUGAGACACGGACCAGACUCCUACGGGAGGCAGCAGUGAGGAAUAUUGGACAAUGGGCGCAAGCCUGAUCCAGCCAUGCGCGUGCAGGAUGACGGUCCUAUGGAUUGUAAACUGCUUUUGCACAGGAAGAACAUCCCGACGUGUCGGGACUUGACGGUACUGUGAGAAUAAGGAUCGGCUAACUCCGUGCCAGCA